This 41-nucleotide ribosomal RNA is filed under the name Clematis apiifolia. RNAcentral's name for it is "partial 26S ribosomal RNA". Lineage: Eukaryota; Viridiplantae; Streptophyta; Magnoliopsida; Ranunculales; Ranunculaceae. RNAcentral also lists the same sequence under 6 other names. The record is from RNAcentral.
GACCCCAGGUCAGGCGGGAUUACCCGCUGAAUUUAAGCAUA